AUGGUGAGGGGCAAGAUUGUGAUUAGGAGGAUUGAGAACAUGAGAAGCAGGCAAGUCACCUUCUCCAAGCGGCGUCGUGGCCUGCUGAAGAAAGCACGUGAGCUGGCCAUCCUCUGCGAUGUCCAGGUCGGUGUCAUCAUCUUCUCCUCCACUGGUCGCCUCUACGAGUAUGCCAACUCCACCGCCACCACCACCAUGGACAUGCAGUUUGCAUGA
RNAcentral lists this ribosomal RNA (216 nucleotides) under Triticum aestivum (bread wheat). RNAcentral describes it as "partial small subunit ribosomal RNA". The record is from RNAcentral. Lineage: Eukaryota; Viridiplantae; Streptophyta; Magnoliopsida; Poales; Poaceae.